Molecule: long non-coding RNA, 1293 nt
Filed under: Bos grunniens (domestic yak)
Lineage: Eukaryota; Metazoa; Chordata; Mammalia; Artiodactyla; Bovidae
Description: lncRNA (ENSBGRG00000026035.1)
Source: RNAcentral
AUGAAACUUUCGAAGCCGCGCUCGCGGACGGGCGUGCGCGCCGGCCAAUGGGAGGUGGCUCGGGGCGGCGCGGGGUCCCGCCCCUGGACGGCUGGAGGCCGGCGCGGGGACCCAGCGCAGGGAAGCCCCCGCCUGCGAGCGGUGGGCUUCGCGCGCUCGCUCCCCGGACCCUCAGCGCCGCUGGAUCCUGUCCUUUUGCAGACUGAAGGAACUAUCCGUUCCCCAGGGCGCGGCCCUGAGCUCACCCCCGCGCCCGGGGAGUCCUUCAAGGCUCCAGGAAUUGUGCACAGGCGACAGGAAAGCAGAAGUUGGCGCGACUGUCACUGUGCUAGGUCCACACGUGCCCACAUGCACGCACUGAGAGAAAGAAAAGCAGAAUUCGUCCAGACCAGUGUCCCUGCGCAUUCUGAAUGGAGCGAGAAGUUUCAGCUUUGACGGGGCUCUGGGAAAUCCUGCGUCUUUCCAAAUUCAUUGGGUCAUUGGGAAAUCUGCGAGUGGACAUAGGGAUCAGAUGCGCGCCCACUUAGUAGAUUUUGGAGACGUCUUGUUUUCGCCUCGGGUUUGUUGCUUGUCGUGGCCCCUGGGAAGAGAGUAUACUGUUUCUCUUCUCUACUCAUAACCCCUGUUUUCUCUUUCUCUAGGUAAGAUCUAGAGACACCUGGUUCUACCUGGGAGAUGCUCUUUUCUCAAUUAUCCAGCAGUUUUGUCACUGAGGGGACCCUGGAGACCUGAAACAGGUGAUCUGACCUAUAGGGAGGACCCUUCAAAACUGGCAUUUCCAUCAGGAGGACAGAGAGGCAAGAAUUUGACUUCCACCAGCCUUCUGGGCUUGAACUGGCGUUUGAUGAUGGAAAAGUCUACUGAUGGAAAUUUACACAAACCUUAGUUCUCUGUGAUAACCAACAAGGUCUCCCUUUAAAGAUACAAUAACCUUGCCUUUUGAGCCCAGAUGUCUUCACAAAUUCCCUGAGAAAGACAAAUACACUGUGAACCAACACUUUUUUAUGAAGCCUGAUGCAGUCAGAUCUUGCAAAGACACAGGGAAACUUGGACCAUCCUUGUAUUCUAGAGUCCUCAAGAAGUUUCGCCACCGGAACUCCGAAUGUCAAUGUACAUUACACUAGGCCUAGAAAAGAUAACAGGAACUUAAGCAAAUCAUUGUCCUCUCCCAGGAAUUGUGUUUUGUAGAAGCCUGAUGACAAUCUGCACCUAUUUUCCAAGUCUAGCACUGUGAUGCUCAUAGGUGGUAUCCUCUGGCUCUCCCUCAAUCUCUCUGGUACAACUUGUUUUGGG